CAAAUCAAGAAUUGACAUUCCUAAUGACGACCAAGAUCCAAAAAAGAUCUCCUGGUCAUCGAGAGGUAAAUCUACCUGCCACUCCUUCAGUGGUGCAAAGUAAAGGACAUUCAGCAAAAAGUCCUGGAGAUCCCCCAAAAUAAAUAUGGUACUAUUAUUA
Xenia sp. Carnegie-2017 is the source of this 160-nucleotide long non-coding RNA. RefSeq lists it as uncharacterized. Lineage: Eukaryota; Metazoa; Cnidaria; Anthozoa; Malacalcyonacea; Xeniidae. The transcript has 2 exons. The record is from RefSeq and is a predicted model, not a curated record.